This 218-nucleotide unclassified non-coding RNA is filed under the name uncultured Thelephora. Its description in RNAcentral is "sequence contains ITS2". Lineage: Eukaryota; Fungi; Basidiomycota; Agaricomycetes; Thelephorales; Thelephoraceae. The record is from RNAcentral.
ACACCUCAACUCUCAUGGUUCGCCGUGAUGAGCUUGGACUCUGGGGGUUUUGCUGGCCUGUGGUCGGCUCCUCUCAAAUGAAUCAGCCUCCCAGUGUUUGGCGGCAUCACGGGUGUGAUAAAUAUCUACGCUCGCUGUUGUCUGCCAGGUAACCUUUGGUCACAAAGGUUCGCUGGAGCUCACAGACGUCUCUCCUCAGCGAGGACAGCCCUUUGAAU